CGGUAAAAGAUGAGCCAGUGCGUUCCCCAUUAGCUAGAUGGUAGGUAACGGNUUACCAUGGCGACGGAGUGGGUAGGGGUCCCUGGGGAGGGAGAUCCCCCCACACUGGUACUGAGACACGGACCAGACUCCUACGGGAGGCAGCAGUGAGGAAUAUUCGGGACAAAUGGGCGGCAAGCCUGAUCCCGAGCCAUGCCCGCGGUGCAGGAUGACGGUCCUAUGGAUUGUAAACUGCUUUUGUACAGGAAGAAACCACUCCCUUCGUGAGGGUAGGCUUGACGGUUACUGUAAGAAUAAGGAUCGGCUAACCUUCCGUUAGC
Molecule: ribosomal RNA, 320 nt
Filed under: uncultured bacterium
Lineage: Bacteria
Description: bacterial SSU rRNA
Rfam family: Bacterial small subunit ribosomal RNA
Source: RNAcentral